RNAcentral lists this ribosomal RNA (342 nucleotides) under uncultured bacterium. RNAcentral describes it as "bacterial SSU rRNA". It matches the Rfam family "Bacterial small subunit ribosomal RNA", at positions 8 to 352 of the family's 1533-position model. The record is from RNAcentral.
AGAGUUUGAUCAUGGCUCAGAUUGAACGCUGGCGGCAGGCCUAACACAUGCAAGUCGAGCGGAUGACGGGAGCUUGCUCCUUGAUUCAGCGGCGGACGGGUGAGUAAUGCCUAGGAAUCUGCCUGGUAGUGGGGGACAACGUUUCGAAAGGAACGCUAAUACCGCAUACGUCCUACGGGAGAAAGCAGGGGACCUUCGGGCCUUGCGCUAUCAGAUGAGCCUAGGUCGGAUUAGCUUGUUGGUGAGGUAAUGGCUCACCAAGGCGACGAUCCGUAACUGGUCUGAGAGGAUGAUCAGUCACACUGGAACUGAGACACGGUCCAGACUCCUACGGGAGGCAGC